AGUGGUUAAGACUCUGAGCUUCCAAUGGAGGGGGCAUGGGUUCAAUCCCUGGUUAGGGAACUAAGAUCCCACAUGCUGCAUGUCCAAUAAAUAAAUAAAACAUUAAAAAAAAAUAGGGUGGAUCAUAGAAAUACGACUGUUGUUCCUAAGGUUCCCUGUAGAUGGCGUUGCUUAACUUGGUCUUUAAACGGUUUAUAGACAGGAAGUUGUUAAAAUAAAAUAUGUUAAAUGGGUUCACACUUGCAUUUUGAAAGUGAAGUACAUUAGAUUUUAAAGAAUAAAACCUACCUGUUAUGAGUUGCUUUCAGAAUAUAAAGUGGUUGUCUUAGUUCGUUUGGGUUGGUAUCACAAAAUACCGUAGCCUAGGUAACUUACAAACGACAGAAAUUUAUUUCUCACAGUUCUGGGAGGCUGGGCAGUCCAAGAUCAGGAUGUCCAUAGGCAGCUGUCCUCACAGGACGGAAGGGACAAGGCACUCCCUGGGAUCUCUUUUACUGGGCACAAAUCCCAUUUAUAGAGAGCUUCACCCUCAUGACCUGCUCACCUCCCAAAUGCCCCACCUCCAAAUACCAUCACACUGGAGGAAUAGAUUUCAGUAUAUGAAUGGGUGGGGAGGGGCGUGGUGUAAGCAUCCAGACCGUAACAGUAGUGUAGGUGAAAUAGGGUUUUUUUUCCUUGUAAAUCUGUAUUUAUUUUGUUUAUUGCCCUUUGAUAUGCCUUUUGAAAUUUUGAAUGUUGUUCAUAUAGCUACAUAAAUUGCCAUUCAUAAAUCAUUUCUCUACUGUUGGUAUUUUCUAUGAGAGACAGAUAGUUCAAAGGCUAAAUUAGUUCAAGUUCUAAAAAUGAAAUUCACCUUGAAAGUACUUUUUAUAUAAUGCAUGAUUUUACAUCUGAGGUGCUUGAAGCUUCUAAUUAAUUUUAAUUAGUUUUCAAGCCAGUAUGCGUUCUUCACUAGAGUAAUAAGUAGCUUUUACAUCAAAAGACUGAAGCUCUGUCUUUGGUUGUAUCACAGUUCUGUAAGCUUAGGCUGCCUGUUUGACUUUCAGUUUUAAUUUUUCCUCAAGGAACAUCAGGAUUUGAAAGAGUUUUUGAUUCAGUGAUAAUAAACAUUUAAAAAAUAUAAUAUUCAGUUUUCAUAACAUAAAGAUCUUUAAGCCAUAUUUGAAUUAGAAAAAGUUUGUGGCAACAAAAUUUUACUGAAAAUUAAUCAAGUAAUGGGAAACUAAGUUUUCACUUUAAAUGAUUUGGGGUAGGAAAACAAAUUCUGAAACCAUUUUCACCAGUUAGGUGAAAGCUGUUACGUAUUUUGGGUCACGUCAAUUGUGAGAUACAUCUUAUGUAAUUCAUUAUUAAUAGCAAAUAGUUUUCAAAGAAUAAAUUUUAAACUGUGUUAGAACAGGUUAUAUCUAUGAUGAUUGUUUUCUCAUAACCAUCCUGAAAACUAUUAGCUCACAAGCCUUGAAGCCAGAUUACCUGGAUUUAAACCUCAGUUCUUCAUUUACUUAGCUGUAUGACUCUGUGUGCCUCAGUUUCCUCCUAUAUGAGGUAAAACCAUGAUGGAUUGCCUCAUAGUUUGACAUAGGGAGUAAGUCGAUUUAACACAUAAAAUACUCAGCAUACAGUAAGCCUUCGAUAAAUGUUGUGGUUAUAGCAGGCUUGGAAUUACUUUACAUGAGGGUCCUGGGGAAAUGUAAUAAUGCAAGUCUGUGUUGCGGUGUGAAAUCUGGGCAUCUUUUUGAGAGUAUUGGGCUUGUGAGCAUCACUACCCCAUCACAGUGGGAAUGACUCCUAGGUGGGAGGAGUCUGAGAACAGUGUUCCACAGUAAGUUGAACAGGUAAGCAAUUUUAGAAGAAGAAAAUGUGUGAAAAGAAAACCUUUGUUUGCUGUUCAUUUUUACGGUUCUAAAGCUAAGUGCCAUGAGCAUUAAGAGGCCAACAAAAACAGAUCCUCAUUUCCAAAUACCAGAGCUUGGGCUUGUUGGCUGAAGCUCCAGGAUCCCAGCAUCCUGAACCUUACCCAGUUCUUCCCUCUGUGGUUCUUCUCUAUGUUGAACUGAGACCAGAUAAGUGGCACCAGGUCAUUUUUCUGAAGUCUGGGGCUUGAUGUAUCUGCGUAAUUACUAUCAGAGCUUAGAUGUGUUCAUUCUAAAAGAACAAGGUGACUAUAAAAUACUCUGUAGCUCUUGCCUCCUGGGUAAACCAUCUUUUACCCUGUGAUCAGUAUAUAUGAUGAGAAUCAGGAGCUUCAUUUAACUUCAGGCUGAUUCUGUCUGUACCAGCAGACAAGAAUGAGAGUCAGAAGCGUGAACUGUAUCUACUUCUCCAUCAGCCAGUGUCCAAUAACACAGGUGCUUAACUGCAUUAUAUUAAACUUUCAAGCCUUUUUUGUUUUCAGUUGAUGGAAAAGAUUAUAGCUGGUCUUAAUUUUUAGAAACGUCUAUUAGCUAUGAUACACUAACUUACUUUGAUGAAGGGUAAAUUCACACUUUUUACUAUUCACAAGGUUAGAAACAAUGAUGUUUCUUCUUUGCAAAACAAAGUUAAGGCUUUUGAAAGAGCUGUUCUAGAUGCCAUCCUUAUGGGGUUAAAUGUUGAGUACUUAACAGAUUUCCUUCAUGUCAUUAGCUCUCAUGAAUCAUCACUGGCAGUCUGUUAAAACCCUUGACGGGUCAGUGCUUUUAAACACUCUUGAGUAAUUUUUUAAAAGUUAACUUUUAUUCUAAGUUUGUUAAUCCACUGAAGUCCAAGCAUUUAACAAUCAGAGGUCCAGAUUCAUUUGUUGGCUCAUUGGUGCUUUGAUAAAUCAUUGCUGGAGUUAUUGUGUAUAUAGUACAAACAAUCCCAUGUAUCUCCAUUCAUUACCUGACCUUGUUCUUUUAGGAAUGUGUCCUGAAAACUGGCUUGUCCUGCGAGCACAGUACAGUUGCACAUUGGGCCCAUCCCCGAACCAGGAUCUGGAGGCUCCCUGGGAGCACUCUGCUGAACUGACCUACUUCAGAUUUGGAGGUUCCCCCACGCCUUCUUCCCUUAGAACACCUCUUCCUGGCCUCCUGGCAACCACCUGCUGCCCUUGUUUCCACAGUCGAUCAUGGCUUUCGGUGCUUUUCUCUCUCAGGGAACAGUGUGAUACUCUUGGAGGUGGGGAGGUCCCGUUAGAUUGUGGUUCAUACAGGUUUUCAGCUCUGGAUCCAUAUGCCCGAUUGUUGAUUCUCAGAGAGACGACUGAACAAGUAUCAUUUCACCAUAUGGCCAACUUGUCAGGUUUACCAAAA
This is a long non-coding RNA of Bubalus bubalis (water buffalo), 3272 nucleotides long. RefSeq lists it as uncharacterized. The record is from RefSeq and is a predicted model, not a curated record. The transcript is spliced from 2 exons. NCBI's taxonomy places the organism in Eukaryota, Metazoa, Chordata, Mammalia, Artiodactyla, Bovidae.